Molecule: long non-coding RNA, 410 nt
Filed under: Lynx pardinus (Iberian lynx)
Lineage: Eukaryota; Metazoa; Chordata; Mammalia; Carnivora; Felidae
Source: RNAcentral
CUUUUAUGUGGGGCUUGGGAGUUGUUCCUUGUGUUGUAGGAACAAUGGCCCUGUCUCUCAACAGUAGGUUGGAACUGAUGUGUGCAGAUGCUACGAUACAAAGGAAAAGCCCAAAACUUCUGGGAAAAUACUAGCUGGAAAAUGACUUGAUCAAAACUUGACAACCUUACCAGCAUCACGGAGGUUGAUGAAUACUGAUAAAGCUGUAGAUGUCACUGACUAGCAGCUUCAUUUUGAAUGAGGGGUCAAUAGCUGCCCAUUGAAAGAGGCCAAUUUGCUGAAGUUCCUAAGGUGUAACUAUUUCUGGUUAGUGCCAGGACUUUUACUUGUCUGUUGUAUGAAAACAAAACAAAACAAAACAAAACAAAACAAAACAAAACAAAAACUGAUCAGAAAAAGCCCUUCAUUUU